GGGUUGUGAGGUUAAGCGACUAAGCGUACACGGUGGAUGCCCUGGCAGUCAGAGGCGAUGAAGGACGUGCUAAUCUGCGAAAAGCGUCGGUAAGGUGAUAUGAACCGUUACAGCCGGCGAUGUCCGAAUGGGGAAACCCAGUGCAAUUCGUUGCACUAUCGUUAACUGAAUACAUAGGUUAACGAGGCGAACCGGGGGAACUGAAACAUCUAAGUACCCCGAGGAAAAGAAAUCAACCGAGAUUCCCCCAGUAGCGGCGAGCGAACGGGGAGCAGCCCGGAGUCUGAAUCAGCUUGUGUGUUAGUGGAAGCGUCUGGAAAGUCGCAGGGUACAGGGUGAUACUCCCGUACACUAAAACGCACAGGUUGUGAACUCGAAGAGUAGGGCGGGACACGUGGUAUCCUGUCUGAAUAUGGGGGGACCAUCCUCCAAGGCUAAAUACUCCUGACUGACCGAUAGUGAACCAGUACCGUGAGGGAAAGGCGAAAAGAACCCCGGCGAGGGGAGUGAAAAAGAACCUGAAACCGUGUACGUACAAGCAGUAGGAGCCCCACCACCAAAGCGUUUCGCUUUACGUGGUGCGCAAAAUGCGUAACGACAGCAUGAUGGACGGUUAACGGAGCGUAAGCGACGUUCAACAUCCAGAAUCAGGCAGUGGAGCGUUUUGGGGUGGGGUGACUGCGUACCUUUUGUAUAAUGGGUCAGCGACUUAUAUUCUGUAGCAAGGUUAACCGUAUAGGGGAGCCGCAGGGAAACCGAGUCUUAACUGGGCGUUAAGUUGCAGGGUAUAGACCCGAAACCCGGUGAUCUAGCCAUGGGCAGGUUGAAGGUUGGGUAACACUAACUGGAGGACCGAACCGACUAAUGUUGAAAAAUUAGCGGAUGACUUGUGGCUGGGGGUGAAAGGCCAAUCAAACCGGGAGAUAGCUGGUUCUCCCCGAAAGCUAUUUAGGUAGCGCCUCGUGAACUCAUCUUCGGGGGUAGAGCACUGUUUCGGCUAGGGGGUCAUCCCGACUUACCAACCCGAUGCAAACUACGAAUACCGAAGAAUGUUAUCACGGGAGACACACGGCGGGUGCUAACGUCCGUCGUGAAGAGGGAAACAACCCAGACCGCCAGCUAAGGUCCCAAAGUCAUGGUUAAGUGGGAAACGAUGUGGGAAGGCCCAGACAGCCAGGAUGUUGGCUUAGAAGCAGCCAUCAUUUAAAGAAAGCGUAAUAGCUCACUGGUCGAGUCGGCCUGCGCGGAAGAUGUAACGGGGCUAAACCAUGCACCGAAGCUGCGGCAGCGACACUAUGUGUUGUUGGGUAGGGGAGCGUUCUGUAAGCCGUUGAAGGUGGCCUGUGAGGGUUGCUGGAGGUAUCAGAAGUGCGAAUGCUGACAUAAGUAACGAUAAUGCGGGUGAAAAACCCGCACGCCGGAAGACCAAGGGUUCCUGUCCAACGUUAAUCGGGGCAGGGUGAGUCGACCCCUAAGGCGAGGCCGAAAGGCGUAGUCGAUGGGAAACAGGUUAAUAUUCCUGUACUCGGUGUUACUGCGAAGGGGGGACGGAGAAGGCUAUGUUGGCCGGGCGACGGUUGUCCCGGUUUAAGCAUGUAGGCGGAUGUUCCAGGUAAAUCCGGAACGUUAUCAACGCUGAGGUGUGAUGACGAGGCACUACGGUGCUGAAGUGACAAAUGCCCUGCUUCCAGGAAAAGCCUCUAAGCAUCAGGUAACAUCAAAUCGUACCCCAAACCGACACAGGUGGUCAGGUAGAGAAUACCAAGGCGCUUGAGAGAACUCGGGUGAAGGAACUAGGCAAAAUGGUGCCGUAACUUCGGGAGAAGGCACGCUGAUGGUAAGUGAAGCGACUUGCUCGUGGAGCUGAAAUCAGUCGAAGAUACCAGCUGGCUGCAACUGUUUAUUAAAAACACAGCACUGUGCAAACACGAAAGUGGACGUAUACGGUGUGACGCCUGCCCGGUGCCGGAAGGUUAAUUGAUGGGGUUAUCCUCGCGGAGAAGCUCUUGAUCGAAGCCCCGGUAAACGGCGGCCGUAACUAUAACGGUCCUAAGGUAGCGAAAUUCCUUGUCGGGUAAGUUCCGACCUGCACGAAUGGCGUAAUGAUGGCCAGGCUGUCUCCACCCGAGACUCAGUGAAAUUGAACUCGCUGUGAAGAUGCAGUGUACCCGCGGCAAGACGGAAAGACCCCGUGAACCUUUACUAUAGCUUGACACUGAACACUGGUCCUUGAUGUGUAGGAUAGGUGGGAGGCUUUGAAGUGUGGACGCCAGUCUGCAUGGAGCCAUCCUUGAAAUACCACCCUUUAAUGGCUGGUGUUCUAACGUGGGCCCGUAAUCCGGGUUGCGGACAGUGUCUGGUGGGUAGUUUGACUGGGGCGGUCUCCUCCUAAAGAGUAACGGAGGAGCACGAAGGUCAGCUAAUCCUGGUCGGACAUCAGGAGGUUAGUGCAAUGGCAUAAGCUGGCUUGACUGCGAGCGUGACGGCGCGAGCAGGUGCGAAAGCAGGUCAUAGUGAUCCGGUGGUUCUGAAUGGAAGGGCCAUCGCUCAACGGAUAAAAGGUACUCCGGGGAUAACAGGCUGAUACCGCCCAAGAGUUCAUAUCGACGGCGGUGUUUGGCACCUCGAUGUCGGCUCAUCACAUCCUGGGGCUGAAGUAGGUCCCAAGGGUAUGGCUGUUCGCCAUUUAAAGUGGUACGCGAGCUGGGUUUAGAACGUCGUGAGACAGUUCGGUCCCUAUCUGCCGUGGGCGCUGGAGAAUUGAGGGGGGCUGCUCCUAGUACGAGAGGACCGGAGUGGACGCAUCACUGGUGUUCGGGUUGUCAUGCCAAUGGCAUUGCCCGGUAGCUAAAUGCGGAAGAGAUAAGUGCUGAAAGCAUCUAAGCACGAAACUUGCCCCGAGAUGAGUUCUCCCUGACCCUUUAAGGGUCCUGAAGGAACGUUGAAGACGACGACGUUGAUAGGCCGGGUGUGUAAGCGCAGCGAUGCGUUGAGCUAACCGGUACUAAUGAACCGUGAGGCUUAACCUUACAACGCCGAAG
This 3041-nucleotide ribosomal RNA is filed under the name Klebsiella oxytoca. RNAcentral describes it as "bacterial LSU rRNA". It matches the Rfam family "Bacterial large subunit ribosomal RNA". Lineage: Bacteria; Pseudomonadati; Pseudomonadota; Gammaproteobacteria; Enterobacterales; Enterobacteriaceae. The record is from RNAcentral.